Molecule: ribosomal RNA, 548 nt
Filed under: uncultured bacterium
Lineage: Bacteria
Description: bacterial SSU rRNA
Rfam family: Bacterial small subunit ribosomal RNA
Source: RNAcentral
GGGGAAUUUUGGACAAUGGGCGCAAGCCUGAUCCAGCCAUGCCGCGUGUCUGAAGAAGGCCUUCGGGUUGUAAAGGACUUUUGUCAGGGAAGAAAAGGCUGUUGCUAAUAUCAGCGGCUGAUGACGGUACCUGAAGAAUAAGCACCGGCUAACUACGUGCCAGCAGCCGCGGUAAUACGUAGGGUGCGAGCGUUAAUCGGAAUUACUGGGCGUAAAGCGAGCGCAGACGGUUUAUUAAGCAAGAUGUGAAAUCCCCGAGCUUAACUUGGGAACUGCGUUUUGAACUGGUAAGCUAGAGUAUGUCAGAGGGGGGUAGAAUUCCACGUGUAGCAGUGAAAUGCGUAGAGAUGUGGAGGAAUACCGAUGGCGAAGGCAGCCCCCUGGGAUAAUACUGACGUUCAUGCUCGAAAGCGUGGGUAGCAAACAGGAUUAGAUACCCUGGUAGUCCACGCCCUAAACGAUGUCAAUUAGCUGUUGGGGCACUUGAUGCCUUAGUAGCGUAGCUAACGCGUGAAAUUGACCGCCUGGGGAGUACGGUCGCAAGAUUA